GACGAACGCUGGCGGCGUGCCUAAUACAUGCAAGUAGAACGCUGAAGAGAGGAGCUUACUCUUCUUGGAUGAGUUGCGAACGGGUGAGUAACGCGUAGGUAACCUGCCUUGUAGCGGGGGAUAACUAUUGGAAACGAUAGCUAAUACCGCAUAACAAUGGAUGACACAUGUCAUUUAUUUGAAAGGGGCAAUUGCUCCACUACAAGAUGGACCUGCGUUGUAUUAGCUAGUAGGUGAGGUAAUGGCUCACCUAGGCGACGAUACAUAGCCGACCUGAGAGGGGGGUCGGCCACAAUGGGAAUGGGACACGGCCCAGACUCCUACGGGAGGCAGCAGAAGGGAAUCUUCGGCAAUGGGGGCAACACUGACCGAGCAACGCCGCGUGAGUGAAGAAGGGUUUCGGAUCGUAAAGCUCUGUUGUAAGUGAAGAACGGGUGUGAGAGUGGAAAGUUCACACUGUGACGGUAGCUUACCAGAAAGGGACGGCUAACUACGUG
Molecule: ribosomal RNA, 497 nt
Filed under: uncultured bacterium
Lineage: Bacteria
Description: partial 16S ribosomal RNA
Rfam family: Bacterial small subunit ribosomal RNA
Source: RNAcentral